UAUAAAUAUUUUACAUUCGUUUUAAAAAAAAUAGAAUCUUUUAUUAAAAAAUUAUACGCGUUCUUAUACGGCACUUGCGCCACUCAACUAUCAUUUCUUUUAUUUAUAUUCGGAAGACAAAUAGAGGAAUCGGGCGGUCUAGUUCGUGUUUUGGGAGGAACAAUGGCAGCGAGAAUUUUCGCUGAUUUUUUUUUUUUUUUUCCUUUCUUCUAAUCUGCUGUUGCAGUGCUAUGAUUACUAUCAUGUUUUUGUCAAGAGUUUUUGGGAGAACGCCAUUUGCUGCAGCUAAAUCCGAAGUAUCUGCUGCGACAGCUGCUUCUGCAGCGAGAAACCCUCUGAAAGAGUUCUUUGAGGCAGAUAGAAGCACAGAUGAUGACAAACAGGUCUAUGUUGGAAGGUUUCCAAACUACGACUGAAGUCAUGGGAUGAUCUUCAUAAGCUAUGGUAUGUUUUAUUAAAGGAGAAAAACAUGCUGAUGACUCAAUGCCAGAUGAGGUCCUUCGGGAUAGGUAUGAGAGCUGCUUUGCUUCACUCACAGAAUCUAGGGUUUCCUAAUCCGGAGUGGUUCCCAAGUUUCUCCUCCCAAAGAUAGCCUCAGCGAUGUGAGAUGAAGGUGAACUGUUUAAAACUGAUUCGCAAAUGGUUUUCCCUUAGCUUAAAUAUGCAUUUAUAAAUGGAUGUGUUGAAAGCAAGUUCAUGCCUUCUAUGAGAUAUGGUGCUUUUGCAUAUGUUAGGCAUUUUGUUCAACAGGAUUUACGAAGACCUUCAGAAAAUAUCGAUUGAAUUGUUUAAGUGUCAGGUAAUUGUUUGGUGUUGCUUAGUGCUUCUUGAGUAGAUCGCUUACUCUAAGAAUGAAAUUUUUUCCUGUAGGUUACGAACAAUUUGCCAUCAUUCAAGAAUGCUUUCUGACUUGAUUCUCUGGACUUACAUGGUGGGGUAGAAUGUUCUGUGUUAGAAUGGAACGAGCUGUAGCUCUGCAGAUUUUAGAGGGCACCCUUAAUUUCAUAGGUGCCAGCGAUUGGGAAACAUUUGACUCAUUAGCGCACUAUUACGUUAACAAAGAACUUGGUCUUUAAGUAGUUUUAUGUUCUGUUACUCAUAACAAAUAAAAGUACUUUUACAAUCUAUCAAGCUGAUGAUAGAGGCAAUAACUCUUUCCAACCAUUGUUC
This is a long non-coding RNA of Juglans regia (Persian walnut), 1170 nucleotides long. RefSeq lists it as uncharacterized. The transcript has 3 exons. The record is from RefSeq and is a predicted model, not a curated record. Lineage: Eukaryota; Viridiplantae; Streptophyta; Magnoliopsida; Fagales; Juglandaceae.